UUACGGCCAUAUCAUGUUGAAUGGCCGACUCCCGUACAAUCACCAAAGUUAAGCAACGUCGAGCAUGGUCAGUACCUAGAUGAGUGACCACUUGGGAAUAUG
Acanthosepion pharaonis is the source of this 102-nucleotide non-coding RNA. Lineage: Eukaryota; Metazoa; Mollusca; Cephalopoda; Sepiida; Sepiidae. The record is from the annotation of a GenBank genome assembly.